GCUCAGGAUGAACGCUGGCGGCGUGCUUAACACAUGCAAGUCGAACGAAGCACUUUAUUUGAUUUCCUUCGGGACUGAUUAUUUUGUGACUGAGUGGCGGACGGGUGAGUAACGCGUGGGUAACCUGCCUUGUACAGGGGGAUAACAGUUGGAAACGGCUGCUAAUACCGCAUAAGCGCACGGCAUCGCAUGAUGCAGUGUGAAAAACUCCGGUGGUAUAAGAUGGACCCGCGUUGGAUUAGCUAGUUGGUGAGGUAACGGCCCACCAAGGCGACGAUCCAUAGCCGACCUGAGAGGGUGACCGGCCACAUUGGGACUGAGACACGGCCCAAACUCCUACGGGAGGCAGCAGUA
This 354-nucleotide ribosomal RNA is filed under the name uncultured bacterium. RNAcentral describes it as "bacterial SSU rRNA". It matches the Rfam family "Bacterial small subunit ribosomal RNA", at positions 22 to 356 of the family's 1533-position model. The record is from RNAcentral.